CGCGGGCGGGAGUCCGAUCUACAUAUGAGUGCCCUGCAUUCGGUUCUGCGCGCGCUCACACACCUCUGCUCUAGGCUGGAGAGGGCUCUAGAUACAGGGUCUCCCGCGGAGGGGGACGCGGCUACCCACCCUGGGCUUGUCGGGGGAUCUGAGGAUUUGCAGUCGUCUGGCCCCGGCCGGGCGGAGGAGGGGAAACCCCGCCUGAGAGCGGGGACUCCGGAAGGAUGCCUGUGCGCCCCACUUCCCCACCCCACCCACGCUUUCUCUUUGCUGUGCUUCUGCUUCGCAGAUUCCACACCCCACCCUACCCGGCCCGUUCACCGAAUCCUGACUUUGAACCCCAAGGUGGCCAGGCGUGUUCUCGGCCCGGCCACAACCAGCUGGCGUUCUCGCCCUGGCCGGAGCCGUCCAACCGGGCUUCGCUGUCCCCGGGGAGGGUGCCCAGCUCGGAUCAACCGGGGCGAGGUUACGCUUUCUAAAGUUACUCCCGGGCGAGGGGAGCACAAUGGGUCAUCCAGGGAAAAGAAAAAAAUAUCUCCACCCUCCUUCUGGCUUCAUGGAGGACCUGCGCUUGAACAAGUAGAGAAGGAUAUUUGGGCGGAACAGUUGCGACAUGCUGACUCACCUAGUGUGCUGAGAAGACUGAAGCAAUUUGUAAAAAUGAUAUUCUAUCAAGGGCCUUGCGGAAGACAAAAGGACAGAUUCCAGAUGUACGUGAUUCUAGAGAAUCGGUCUGACUGAUGUUCCCACCUCCAUGCCUCCUCUUCCCCUAACCCAAAUAAGCUAACUGGCUGUGCUACCAGCCCGAAAGAUUUUCUGUUUAUGCUAAAACUUUAGCAGUUGGUCUCCCUUGUAUUUUGACUGUGAUCAUGGCAUUCGAAAAAAAAAAAAACAAAAAACAGGUAAUUCAUAAGAAUUUAAGAAUUUAUCACUUUCUCAGGGAUGGUAAGAAAUUUACUCAAAAUUCACUUUUAUGUUUAAGAUAGGCUUCCAAAGGCUGCUUAUUUCCAACUUUCAUUUUACUUUCACUUAAUGUAAAAAGAAAUGGCUUUAGUUUAUCUUCACACAGCAUUCUAAUUGUAACAGUAGUUCCUUUGGGUUUUCACGUAUAGAACGGUCCAUAGUACAUUCCACAGCAUUCGUUAUAUAGAGCGAUCUUGGUGGCUUUAUAUGAAAUAUCGAAUGACUGUGUAUGUGAACAAUGAAUGAUAGUUUCGUAAAUAACCUUCAGGAGACAGACAUAGCUUCAGUUGAGCACUAUAAAAGCGUGUUGUUAUACAACAGCCUGUAGAAGGUGCUAAGAAAAUACAAAGAAAUUAAAUAAAUACAUAAAUUUAGAAUAAAAUAAUAAAUGAAUAAAAUUAUUAAAAAAUACACAAAAUAAUAAAAAGGUUUCUGUAGGAUUGUGUGGUGUGUAUGUAUAUAUGAGAGGGAAAAGGAGGGAGGGAGGAAGGCAGGGAGGGAGGAAGAGAGAAUCUGGUCUACAAAUCCAUUUGCUUGUCUGAUGCGUUGAAUGGAGCUUCAGAAGCCAGAAGACAUAACAGAGCAGGUGGUUGACAUAAGCUCCCAAAUUUAGAUACUCCUGUGUAUCCAAGGGAGGUGAUAGGUGGCACAGUGGUUAAAAUGCUUAGGGCAGUGGUUCGAACCCACCAGCUUCUCUGUGGGAGAAAGAUGUGGCAUCCUGCUUCCAUAAAGAUUUCCAGCCUCGGAAACCCUAUGGGAACAGUUCUACUCUGUCCUGUAAGGUUGUUAAGAGUAGGAAUCAACUCGAUGGCAGUGGGUUUGGGUUUGGUGUAUCAAAGCACAAGUACUACUGCUUGUUUUAAUAUUCUUUCUAUGUACUUGCUUCCAAAGCGUCAGAAUUGCUUCACUUGGACUUUCUUAUAUAUAAAAAUUGUUAAUCCCCAAAUAUGAAAUAAUAUGCUUCUAAAAAUUGGAACAGUUUUUGAAAGGAAAAGAAUUUUCCCCCCAACUAUCCUACUCGAGACAGUGGGAUAGUUUUGUUUUUACAAACCAAAACAAGAUUGAAACGGUCAAACAUGGUCUUGGUUGGGAGGAAUAUUUUGCUGGAAAAGAGGUAGACUAACAGUCUAUUGAUGUGUAGGAAACACUAUUGUUAAUCCUUUGUGUGUGCCUGCGUGCAGAAGUUAAAAUCUAGGGUAUAUAAAAUUAAACGUCAUAAGGAAAAUGUAAUAAGCAGGCAUCUCAAUUACUAGGUACUCUUUAUUAUACAGUAUAAAUGGCUUUGUAACUCCAUAAUGACAGUCCACCAAAGAGCUCAGAACUGAUAGGCACUAGAGUAAAUAGUUUAGCUAUGUGUGCGUGUCGGCUAGUGUUUUGUCCUCUUAGAUUUUUGGAAAAUCUUUUUCAUUCAGUAUAUAUAUGGAAGCUUUCUUUCUCAGGUUAGAGAAAGUUAAUGCAGUGACAUUUCCCCAUGACUUCAGAAAAAUUGGAAUAAAUGUGAAAUCUCAAUAGUUUAUGAAUGAGGUUUUUUCUAUUUGAGAUAAUAGGCACUUAGCAAGUAUGAAGAUGGCAACCACCAUUGAGUAAAUCCUUUGUGUGUACCUACUGUGUGCCAGAGGCUCUGUAUUAGAAAGGUAGGUUACCAGAGCAACCAACCACAAUUUUUUGGGUAAAUAGCUUUCACUGCUCUUUUACAAAUAAAACCUACUUUCACCUUUGUGCUUGAAGAGAAACGUCUUCAUUUUAAAUAGAUGCUUGUUUUAGAACUUCUGCAAACUGGAGAAAAGAACAUUUCAACUGAGAAAACUAGGAUUAAUAUUUUGAUAUUUCCUUCCGGUCUUUUAAUUUCCUAUUAUUUUCUCUUCCCUUCAAUGGGCACACACACAUUUAAAUGUACACAAUGGGAAUCAGACUGUUUAUAGUCGUAUGUCCUGCUUUUUCCACUUAACAUACCGUGAGCAUUUUUCCAUGCCAUUAAAUAUGCUUUGAAUAUGUUCUUGGCCACAUAAAAUUCCAUCCCAUUGAUGCACCUGUUUUCUUUUAAGCAAAGACACAUGCCAUUUUUUUUUUUUUCCAGUCAUGCUGGACUC
Long non-coding RNA from Loxodonta africana (African savanna elephant), 3053 nucleotides. RefSeq lists it as uncharacterized. The transcript has 3 exons. Lineage: Eukaryota; Metazoa; Chordata; Mammalia; Proboscidea; Elephantidae. The record is from RefSeq and is a predicted model, not a curated record.